This 237-nucleotide long non-coding RNA is filed under the name Lathyrus oleraceus (garden pea). Its description in RNAcentral is "Pisum sativum (pea) long non-coding RNA (PSAT_LNC028412)". The record is from RNAcentral. Lineage: Eukaryota; Viridiplantae; Streptophyta; Magnoliopsida; Fabales; Fabaceae.
AUUCUCGUUGUGUUGUUUAGCUUUUUUAUUUUUGUUUUUCUGACCAUGAUUUUCUUUUAGGUUGGCGGUUUAGCGUACUUCUGAUGCUCUUUUUUUCUUAACUUUUGUUUGUUUUGUUAUAAAUAUAUGGUCCCUAAUUUGCUAUUAAAAAACCAAUAUGAUUAGUAAUUGUCAUGUUUAAAAUUAAUAUAUCAGGAUAGAUAAAUCUUCUGAUUAGCCUGUGAUUUUCACCCUAAU